This 747-nucleotide ribosomal RNA is filed under the name uncultured Thermoplasmatales archaeon. Its description in RNAcentral is "bacterial SSU rRNA". It matches the Rfam family "Archaeal small subunit ribosomal RNA", at positions 162 to 909 of the family's 1478-position model. Lineage: Archaea; Methanobacteriati; Thermoplasmatota; Thermoplasmata; Thermoplasmatales. The record is from RNAcentral.
CAUUAUGCCUGGAAAUGGUUUAUGUUCCAAAUGAUUUAUCGCCGUAGGAUGGGACUGCGGCCUAUCAGUUUGUUGGUGAGGUAAUGGCCCACCAAGACUAUUACAGGUACGGGCUCUGAGAGGAGUAGCCCGGAGAUGGGUACUGAGACACGAAUCCAGACCCUACGGGGUGCAGCAGGCGCGAAAACUUGGCAAUGCGAGAAAUCGUGACCAGGGAACUCCAAGUGCAUCAGGUAAGACCGAUGCUUUUCUUGACUCUUCAACGGUCUUGGAAUAAGGGGUGGGUAAGGACGGUGCCAGCCGCCGCGGUAAUACCGGCGCCUCAAGUGGUAGUCGCUUUUAUUGGGCCUAAAACGUCCGUAGCCGGUUUGGUACAUUCGUGGGUAAAUCAAGGCGCUCAACGUCUUGAAUUCUGCGAGCACGGCCAGACUUGGGACCGGGUGAGGUGUGGGGUACUCUCAGGGUAGGGGUAAAAUCCUGUCAUCCUGAGAGGACCACCUGUUGCGAAGGCGCCACACUAGAACGGAUCCGACGGUCAGGGACGAAGCCUAGGGGCACGAACCGGAUUAGAUACCCGGGUAGUCCUAGGUGUAAACGCUGUGGACUUGAUGUUGGGAGUGCUCCGAGCACCCUCAGUGUCGAAGCGAAGGUGAUAAGUCCACUGCCUGGGGAGUACGGUCGCAAGGCUGAAACUUAAAGGAAUUGGCGGGGGAGCACUGCAACCUGAGGAUUGUGCGGUUUAAUUGG